ACAAAAGGGUAAAAGCUCG
This 19-nucleotide small nuclear RNA is filed under the name Arabidopsis thaliana (thale cress). RNAcentral describes it as "snRNA_08145". The record is from RNAcentral. Lineage: Eukaryota; Viridiplantae; Streptophyta; Magnoliopsida; Brassicales; Brassicaceae.